RNAcentral lists this small nuclear RNA (101 nucleotides) under Choloepus hoffmanni (Hoffmann's two-fingered sloth). The record is from RNAcentral. Lineage: Eukaryota; Metazoa; Chordata; Mammalia; Pilosa; Megalonychidae.
GUGCUUGCUUUACUAUCACAUACACUAAAAUUAUAAUACAGAGAUUAGUGUAGCCCCUGCUCACAUAUGAUACUCAUAUAUAUGAAAUGGUCCAUAUUUAU